AGCAGCCGCGGUAAUUCCAGCUCCAAUAGCGUAUAUUAAAGUUGUUGCAGUUAAAAGCUCGUAGUUGAAUUUCGGGAUCAAUAUGUUGGUCGUGCCUCGGUACGUACUAGCUUAUUGGUUUCUCCUUUCUGAAGAACCAUGAUGUCAUUUAUUUGGUGUCGUGGGGAAUCAGGACUGUUACUUUGAAAAAUUAGAGUGUUUAAAGCAGGCUCACGCUUGAAUACAUUAGCAUGGAAUAAUGAAAUAGGACGUUUGAUUCUAUUUUGUUGGUUUCUAGGAUCGACGUAAUGAUUAAUAGGGAUAGUUGGGGGCAUUAGUAUUCAAUUGUCAGAGGUGAAAUUCUUGGAUUUAUUGAAGACUAACUACUGCGAAAGCAUUUGCCAAGGAUGUUUUCAUUAAUCAAGAACGAAAGUUAGGGGAUCGAAGACGAUCAGAUACCGUCGUAGUCUUAACCAUAAACUAUGCCGACUAGGGAUCGGAUGAUGUUAAUUUUUUA
Molecule: unclassified non-coding RNA, 496 nt
Filed under: uncultured Archaeospora
Lineage: Eukaryota; Fungi; Glomeromycota; Glomeromycetes; Archaeosporales; Archaeosporaceae
Description: SSU rRNA
Rfam family: Eukaryotic small subunit ribosomal RNA
Source: RNAcentral